CCGUGCUGCCCUCCUUGGGCGUUUCCUCCCUAGACUUCGGGCCGCUCGCGAGGGCGGCCUUUCUUUUGUCCAGG
This 74-nucleotide small RNA is filed under the name Methylobacterium sp. 4-46. RNAcentral describes it as "Makes More Granules Regulator RNA (mmgR)". It matches the Rfam family "Makes More Granules Regulator RNA (mmgR)". Rfam says of the family: SuhB later renamed mmgR (makes more granules regulator) was a putative non-coding RNA found multiple times in the Agrobacterium tumefaciens genome and related alpha-proteobacteria. The record is from Rfam by way of RNAcentral. Lineage: Bacteria; Pseudomonadati; Pseudomonadota; Alphaproteobacteria; Hyphomicrobiales; Methylobacteriaceae.